AUACUGUCAUAUAUUGCUCUCAAGGAUUCCUUGCUCCUGAGGCAGAAAGGUGUAUUGGUUACACUGUGAGCACAGCCAUCCUUGGGAAUGGCAUCUCCUGGUGUGGGUGGAAAAAGUUUACUUCUCAGUCAAAGCACAUGAACCUGCACAGAAAAAAAGAAUUAUUGUUUUCUGUCCUCAUGAAGGGAGUACUAAUUCUUUGCCUCUGCUUCACAGGACUGCUCCCUCAGCGCUGGCAAGGAGAACCAGUCAUCAUUCUCAACCCCACUGAGCAGAAGGUGGAAGCUGGAAAACCACUACAGCUGCAGUGUGCUGCCGUUGGGGUCCCAGCCCCCAGCUACCAGUGGUACCGAAACGGGAACCUGCUGGAACACCAGAAGAAAAAAAAACUCUGGAUCACCCACACUAAAGUCAGUGACUCUGGCACGUAUCUCUGCUGUGCCUCCAACAGCCAUGGAGAGCACUGGACCAACGCAGUGGACAUUCGCAUAGGUGAGCAGAACUAAACCAUGUCUGCUUUGCAGCAAAUCAUCUUUUGGCGUGAAAGAGAAUUAGACAAUUUUAGCGAACUUGCAUGGAGAUACCAAGCUGGUACAUGAAGUGCUGAGAUGUUAUCCUACUCAGUUUGUGCAGGGGAAACUGGGCACAGGAUGAAGUGCUGAGAUGUUAUCCUACGGCUCAGUUUGUGCAGGGGAAACUGGGCACAGGGAUUAGAAGAGCUAGAACACAUAGUCCUCCCCAGCUUGAACAGACUUAGUGACAAGAAAAAAAGAAAACCACUGGUUUUAAAGACCGCUUCUGCAGGGAGCCAAAUGUGAGAGUGGAGUGGGGCUCUCAGAGAUGCAGGAGUGUCCUGGCAGUCCUGCAGCAGCUGUCAUGGGAGCAGCUUUCAGAGCACAAAUUCACACCCUGGAUAUACUGGAUGAUCUCAGCAGAGCUGCACGUGUACCCCUGAGUUGGGGACACAGGCAUCAGUCAGCACCAUGAUAAAUGUGAUUCCUUGAUAACAGAGUUCAGAAAUAGUGAGGGAAGCAGCAUGUACAAAAGAAAAAAAAAAACAGCAGUCUGUCCACCAGACUGCAGUGCAGCUGAGAGGCUGUGCUCUCAGAUGCUCAUUGCAGCUUUUCUUCCCAUGUCAAGUUACUGAUUUAAUAGAUUCCCCAACAAGGUGUAGCAGGGUCCUUCAUUAAGGUGAAUUUACAGCCUCACUGAGUUGAAGUGAUGUGCUCAGUUGCAUCGUGCUGGAGAGGAUGGUGUUUAUUUUGGGAAGGUUCAGGUCCAUUGGGCUGGCAGCCCAGGGCUGAUACUGCGUGUGCUGUGC
RNAcentral lists this long non-coding RNA (1321 nucleotides) under Chrysolophus pictus (golden pheasant). Its description in RNAcentral is "lncRNA (ENSCPIG00010010962.1)". The record is from RNAcentral. Lineage: Eukaryota; Metazoa; Chordata; Aves; Galliformes; Phasianidae.